CUAUCACCCUCUUCAAUUCCAGAUCACAAGUUAGGGUUUUGUCAUCUUUUUGUUCACAUAUUAAACUGUUCAUUAUAAUAUGUGGCUUGCACUUAUCCAUGGUCAAAGGAAGAAUCUUUCUUAAAUACCACAAGUGCAAUUCUCUCCCCUCCUUGUCGGUCGCUUCCGCCAGUUUAAUGGAGAUAGAAGAAAAAUAUCCUGUAACCUUGCAUUACCCUUUCAAAAGCUCUCAAGAGUUCUUUAUUUUCAUGGUGCCAAUUGGGUUUCGCUGGAACUGAAGGUGCGUUGAAAACAUCUGUGCAAUAUUUUAAAGCUUGGAAAUUAUGAAAUGGGAACAUGUGCUUAAAAUGGCUGGAGUAAAUACAUUCAGGAGCUAAGAAAGGAACUGGCAACUAUAGAAGAACAGACCUAAGCCCAAAAAUCUUGCUUUACCAUGGCCUCCUUUUCAAAGUCAUCCAAGGUAAGUGAAUCUCCCAAGCAUACAUAGAAGCUAAUAUCCAUGCGGACAUAAUGCCUGCUAAGGGUGUAGAAUUAGGCUAUGAGAUUUAUUAUACAAGCCUCCAAGUUUCAUGUCAGGCUGCUUGCAGAAGGAUUUUUGUGGUACAGUUGAAUUCAGGCUUUGUAAGUAGUUUCUGCGAUUGUUUUUCUUCUCGUUUUUCCUGGGCUUUGUAUCCCAUCCAUAUCAAUAAAAAAGGAAGGUUGAAGGUUGAAACUUGAAAAUGGGCACACCUUCAACAAGGAAGCUUGAAGCGGCCAGUUCUGCACUUAUGGUUGUUUUCUUUAUCAUCAUUUAUGGUAAACAAGAACAAAGAACUGUAAACAUAUCUACUUUAAGUGCA
Populus euphratica (Euphrates poplar) is the source of this 839-nucleotide long non-coding RNA. RefSeq lists it as uncharacterized. The transcript is spliced from 2 exons. Lineage: Eukaryota; Viridiplantae; Streptophyta; Magnoliopsida; Malpighiales; Salicaceae. The record is from RefSeq and is a predicted model, not a curated record.